GCGUCAGUGGUGUAGCCUGGUAUCACCUCAGCUUCCCAUGCUGAUGACCCGCGUUCAAAUCGCGGCUGACGCA
Halococcus saccharolyticus DSM 5350 is the source of this 73-nucleotide transfer RNA. It matches the Rfam family "tRNA". Rfam says of the family: Transfer RNA (tRNA) molecules are approximately 80 nucleotides in length. Lineage: Archaea; Methanobacteriati; Methanobacteriota; Halobacteria; Halobacteriales; Halococcaceae. The record is from Rfam.